UUUCUUAAGGAAUAACAACAC
This 21-nucleotide non-coding RNA is filed under the name Caenorhabditis elegans. Lineage: Eukaryota; Metazoa; Nematoda; Chromadorea; Rhabditida; Rhabditidae. The record is from RNAcentral.